RNAcentral lists this long non-coding RNA (1007 nucleotides) under Mytilus galloprovincialis (Mediterranean mussel). The record is from RNAcentral. Lineage: Eukaryota; Metazoa; Mollusca; Bivalvia; Mytilida; Mytilidae.
CCAUUUGUGUCCUUUGUUUAAUAUGCACAUAGACCAAGGUGAGCGACACAGGCUCUUUAGAGCCUCUAGUUAUUUUUUGUGGAUUCUUCAAGCAAAGAAACAGGCUUUUCUUAAACUUCUAUUGGAAUAGUAUGAAACUUGGUAGAAUUACCUUAUAAUACAUUUAGUGUGCACCUUUCUUUCUAGUUUGUUCAUAAAUAUUAUUGUUAUGAUACGUCUAUGCCAUAUCAUUAUAAGUAAAUAUUUCAUGAUAAAGAAUGUAUCAAAAUUCGACAUGCCUUUUAUCAUGUACAUGGUAUCUUUUUUCAGGCAAUUGUAUAUGCACAAUUUUUCCAGCAAAAUAACUUUUUGUAUUUUUUUUCUUUAUUUGUAUGCCCUACCUACAUAGUAGGAAAGCAUUAUGUUUUCUAGUCUAUGUAUUCACACAAGUUUUGUCAGUUAGUACAUCCAUCCUGUCUCUGGUUACAGUUUUGGGUUAAAAUAGUAUACACAUGUUUAUUAUUAUGAAUAGAAAUUUUUAAAUUAUAUUCCAAAUUACAGUAUUGAACGUGAUUUCAGAUAAAAAUAAGAUGUGGUAUGCUUGCCAAUGAGAAAACUAUCAACCAGAGAAAAAAUAACAUUAUUUUAGCAACUCUUGGUCCUCUAGACAACUAUAAUUCCAUGAAAUGACGUUCUACAGAUCUAGACACAUUUUCUUAUUUAGUCAUUGCCUAGAUGUCUUAUUGACAAUACAUUGUACCUCUUUUUCUACUAUCAUGAAAUAUAGUUAAAAAGGUUAAUUUGCUAAAACAAAAUAGUAACUGCUUCUUUUUUAUAAAGCUUAUAUUUCUUAGACUUUAUAAUGAUUUGAUGUUAUACCUAAGUCUGACUUUAUUUUGUUAUAAUGAAUGAUAUUUGUUUGUUUUAUUGUGAGACUGAUCUACAGUAAUAUUGGAAUUGAUUUUGAAGUGUAUCUUAUGGAUAUAAAAUCAUAUUGUUAAUAAAAUACAAUAAAGUCUGACAUUUCA